GCCCAGGUGGCGGAAUAGGCAGACGCGCUAGCUUGAGGGGCUAGUGACCAUUAACGGUCGUGGGGGUUCAAGUCCCUUCCUGGGCACCG
RNAcentral lists this transfer RNA (89 nucleotides) under Chloroflexota bacterium. RNAcentral's name for it is "Chloroflexi bacterium tRNA-Leu". It matches the Rfam family "tRNA". Rfam says of the family: Transfer RNA (tRNA) molecules are approximately 80 nucleotides in length. The record is from RNAcentral. Lineage: Bacteria; Bacillati; Chloroflexota.